This 65-nucleotide transfer RNA is filed under the name Curculionidae sp. BMNH 1274272. RNAcentral's name for it is "tRNA-Trp". Lineage: Eukaryota; Metazoa; Arthropoda; Insecta; Coleoptera; Curculionidae. The record is from RNAcentral.
AAGAAUUUAAGUUAAUGAAACUAUUGACCUUCAAAGUCAAAAUUAGGUAAUAAUCUAAUUCUUAA